UCCCCAACAGCUCAGUUGGUAGAGCAGGAGACUCUUAAUCUCAGGAUUGUGGGUUUGAGCCCCGCUUUUGGGUAA
Molecule: non-coding RNA, 75 nt
Organism: Podarcis lilfordi (Lilford's wall lizard)
Lineage: Eukaryota; Metazoa; Chordata; Lepidosauria; Squamata; Lacertidae
Source: the annotation of a GenBank genome assembly